ACCGGCGUGGUAUAAUGGUUUUGAGUGUUGGACUGUGACUCUGAAGAUCAGGGUUCGAUUCCCAGCUCUGCAA
Molecule: non-coding RNA, 73 nt
Organism: Phrynosoma platyrhinos (Desert horned lizard)
Lineage: Eukaryota; Metazoa; Chordata; Lepidosauria; Squamata; Phrynosomatidae
Source: the annotation of a GenBank genome assembly